CAAAAAUGACAACCGCCCUAUCCCAAAAAGCGUAUGAAGAUGAUAUAACCAUACAUUGGGAAGAAGCUAAGGUCGUAAAACAGAUGCGAAAUCCAAUACAAGCUGUUUAUAGGGAAACACUCGAGAUGCUCACUCGCCGAAGCAAAGAAAGUCUACUCAAUGAGAACCCUACGACGAGGAUACCAGAAGCAUGGGAAUGCCUUCUUCGGAGACCACAAUGAACGAUGAAAAACGCUCGACCAAUGCCCAGCAACCUUAGAACAACGCAUCCCUACAUCGGGAGAAAAAAGUUGGAUCAGUGCCAAAGUCCUACCGAAACUCAGUGAACGCCUUCCAAUGCUAGACAUACGCUCGU
Molecule: long non-coding RNA, 355 nt
Filed under: Androctonus crassicauda
Lineage: Eukaryota; Metazoa; Arthropoda; Arachnida; Scorpiones; Buthidae
Source: RNAcentral